Molecule: microRNA precursor, 92 nt
Filed under: Rosa chinensis
Lineage: Eukaryota; Viridiplantae; Streptophyta; Magnoliopsida; Rosales; Rosaceae
Description: sRNA RchiOBHm_Chr7g0184271
Rfam family: MIR162_1 microRNA precursor family
Source: RNAcentral
CGCUGGAUGCAGAGGUUUAUCGACCGAUUCAUGUUUUUGUGCUUUUCACAGACAAAAUCUCAGGAAGAGAUCGAUGAACCGCUGCCUCCAGU